This 386-nucleotide ribosomal RNA is filed under the name uncultured bacterium. RNAcentral describes it as "bacterial SSU rRNA". It matches the Rfam family "Bacterial small subunit ribosomal RNA", at positions 29 to 418 of the family's 1533-position model. The record is from RNAcentral.
AUUGAACGCUGGCGGCAUGCUUUACACAUGCAAGUCGAACGGUAACAGGCCUUCGGGUGCUGACGAGUGGCGAACGGGUGAGUAAUGCAUCGGAACGUGCCCAAUCGUGGGGGAUAACGUAGCGAAAGUUACGCUAAUACCGCAUAAGCCCUGAGGAGGAAAGUGGGGGACCGCAAGGCCUCACGCGAAUGGAGCGGCCGAUGUCAGAUUAGCUAGUUGGUGGGGUAAAGGCCCACCAAGGCGACGAUCUGUAGCGGGUCUGAGAGGAUGAUCCGCCACACUGGGACUGAGACACGGCCCAGACUCCUACGGGAGGCAGCAGUGGGGAAUUUUGGACAAUGGGCGCAAGCCUGAUCCAGCCAUGCCGCGUGCGGGACGAAGGCCUC